Molecule: long non-coding RNA, 2788 nt
Organism: Corvus moneduloides (New Caledonian crow)
Lineage: Eukaryota; Metazoa; Chordata; Aves; Passeriformes; Corvidae
Source: Ensembl
AUGUUUCAGAGUGGUGAUGAGUAUGCUGGCAGAUGUGACCGUGGAGACCAAUGUUCUGGGCACCCUGGAGUCCCACAGGAGCAGAGGAAAAGGACCAAGCAUGAGAGAACAGGCUGUCUCUUGGGCUUUGGACUGUCUCAUGUCACAGGCUGCCCUAUGCCUGCAAUGAGCUGCGCACACCAGAAGAUGCUUAAAUAUCCACAUAUCUCAUACUGCAGGGAGUUUUCAGCUUGUGGGCGUUUUUAGAAGGCGAGAAUGGGAGGAGUGAAAUGAUCCACGUCCCCGUUGUCUGUAGGAGAAGGAGAUGUAUUCUGUGCAACUUCUAAACAGCCAUACACCAGGAGGAAGAAUUUACUCGGGAGCUGUUCCCAUGUGGUAGCUGUUAUUAAUGGAUUGAUUUUUCAGACAAUAGUACGGCUUCUUGCAGAAACCCAAACUCCAAGAACUUACUGUUUCAGCCAAAAGAAAUCUGUAAAAAAAUGUUUUCUUAAAAAAAAAAUUGUUUAUUUUUUAAAUGUGGAAAAUAGAUUUUUUUUUUUUUUCCUUCAAAGUAAAGCCCAAAAAACACCCUUUGGCUCAACUGUCAAAUCUCUGAAGACUGAAAGUUCAGGAAACCUUCCUUUGGACCCAGCUCCCUUCACUGCUGUCUGCCUUUAAGGGAAGCCACCUCAGGCACAAGGACUUUGUGCAUGGAGGCUAAUGAAGUACAGGAAGCCCUGCUCCCCUGGAGUCUUCAGGGACACAAUACUGUCUUCCCCUGGCAGUCAUACAUCAUGGGACAGCUUCCCAGAAAUCACAAGCAGAUUAAACAUUACAGGAUCUUUUCCCUUGCAAUGGCACAGGUAUGCUUGCCUCUCUAAUGGUUUCAGAAAGUAUAAAGCCAGAGAUCAUUUUAAUUUGCUCACUGAUAAUUUUGUGUAAUGUAUUCUAUUAACUAGACAUUAAUCACCAGCAGGCACCACCAGCAAGGAAAAAAGAUGCCAUCAAAGCUAAGAAUGCUUUAAAACUACUGUGGGAGGAAAAAAAGAGUAGAAAAUUAUUGUGAAAACAUUUUACCACACUGCAGAAAAAUGCAAAAGUUGUCCUUCCCUCUGUCUGCACUAAAUUACAAUGAAUCUGAACAGAGAGAAAAUGAUUUCCUGCAAUCAGAUCCAAUGGUCUCCAAACCCCUGAUAAUACAAACAAGGACUGUGUGAGUCAAUCAGCCAAAUACAGAGCAAGGGAGGUCUUGUUUUCAAUCAUAUCCACAAAUGGCAAACAGAGCUGUGUGUCAGAAUCUGCUCUUUUCCUAUUUACAAUCAGUCAAAUAGACUCUUCUUGCAUAUGUCUAAAAUGUUCAUGAGUUUAGAAACAGGUGGUGUAGAGGUCAGGAAGCUCAUGUGUGUUUUGGAGUUUCCUAUCCACUGAAAAUUAUUAGUUUUUCAAAUAAUUCAAGAUGUUGUCACAUUAAAUAAAAUUAUCCCAAUGAUGAUGCUAUGUGUGUGUCAGCUUAUGUUUCAAUAAUGUAUCCUGCAUUUUGGCUGCCUAGGAUUAAUUUUUGGAUAACAAGUUAUUUUUCUUUACAUUGCUGCCAGCAUGUUCCUAUUUGAAUUCAGUGUUGGCAACAGAAAUGUAAGAAUGAGGAUCUGUUUUAGUGCUCCCUUUAGUUUACAUUGAUUAGUUUACAUUAAUUUUCGCCUGAGCUGUUGCAUUAUCGCCGUAUGAAAAUAUUAGGAUUGUUUUUUUUUUUUUUUUUCAAGAUUUUCCCUUCAAAGUUUAAGUAAGUUAAUCUAUGAAAAUAUUUUUACUCAUUGCAGAUUUGGGAAAUACUGCAUUAUUUCAGAACAAAGCUCCUGGAUCUCUUUCUUUCCCAUCCUCAGAAAAAAGUAUUCAUGAAAGAUUGGGAAAUAUACAGAUUUGAAAAACAAUCAAAACAUCUGAGUAUUACAGCAUGACUUAUUGAUGUUGCGUUGUGUCAAGACAAAUGAGGUGCUGCCCUGAGUGUUCUCUGCUACAGCUUUAGUAAUGUUUUUUUUAGUGGGAGACAGACCCUUGCCCUGGCCCAUGAUAAAGUUAUUAUUUCAUUCGUUUGCUGAUUCUUUUUCUCACUGUCUUCUCACAAAGCCACCUCUUCUCCUGUCUACUCUGAUUGAAUUGGCUGCCUGUAUUAGGUUCUUAGAUUCAUGGUAUGGUCUCUGUAUCAUAAUAUUUAUUUCAGAUUAAGGGUAACAGCACAAAGAGCAAGUGAAUGCAAAGCCUAUAGGAGAGGUCACAGAGCAUCUUGUGCCAGAUGGUGUUGUAGCUCUCCUGAAAGCUACCAGGUGGGUGUUGCAGAAACUUAUAUUCUUCACUUUUUGAUUUUGAGGAAAAUUUAAGGACCUGCUGUGAGAUGAUUCCUAAAGCCUUUCAGUCUAGAGAAAGUGAGAAGUAUAAUUUGAACAGUCAGGGAAAGAAGCUGAAGUGCUGUGAUUCUCAGCUCUAAGAAAGUCUGUAAAAAUGGCACAUUUUCCAGAUUUAUAUCUGAAACAUGAAUUUUGCUUCUCUGAUCCCACUCAUCUCUUUGUACUGGGUAUGUUUUCAUGUAUUACUUAAAAAAAAAAAAAGGGGUCUUAUAUUUGCAGACUCUGUCGGUUUCAUGUUACCCUUGCCAGAAGGUGUCUCACUUGCAUGAUCAUUGCAAGAACCGGUGGGUUCAUUUACACUCUAUGAGCUAUCUUUAAGUACACUGCAUACUGCUAGCUUGGUUUAAGAUGAUGUAUUGCAGUCAGCCAGCAAGAUAAUUAAGGGAAUAUAUUAAGGUAACCUGGGU